UGUGAUAAGUAAUGUGAAUUGCAGAAUUCAGUGAAUCAUCGAAUCUUUGAACGCACCUUGCACCUUUUGGUAUUCCAAAAGGUACACCUGUUUGAGUG
This 98-nucleotide ribosomal RNA is filed under the name Puccinia crandallii. RNAcentral describes it as "partial 5.8S ribosomal RNA". It matches the Rfam family "5.8S ribosomal RNA", at positions 54 to 151 of the family's 154-position model. Rfam says of the family: 5.8S ribosomal RNA (5.8S rRNA) is a component of the large subunit of the eukaryotic ribosome. It is transcribed by RNA polymerase I as part of the 45S precursor that also contains 18S and 28S rRNA. The record is from RNAcentral. Lineage: Eukaryota; Fungi; Basidiomycota; Pucciniomycetes; Pucciniales; Pucciniaceae.